CGGGGCGUAGCGCAGCCUGGUAGCGCACCUGGUUUGGGACCAGGGGGUCGCUGGUUCGAAUCCGGCCGCCCCGACCA
RNAcentral lists this transfer RNA (77 nucleotides) under Deinococcales bacterium. RNAcentral's name for it is "tRNA-Pro". It matches the Rfam family "tRNA". From Rfam's summary of the family: Transfer RNA (tRNA) molecules are approximately 80 nucleotides in length. Their secondary structure includes four short double-helical elements and three loops (D, anti-codon, and T loops). Lineage: Bacteria; Thermotogati; Deinococcota; Deinococci; Deinococcales. The record is from RNAcentral.